GUGCCAGCCGCCGCGGUAAAACGUAGGUGCCGAGAGUUGUGAGGAUUCACUGGGUGUAAAGGGCGCGUAGGUGGUUGUCUGUGUCUCAUGUGAAAACUCAGGGCUCAACUCUGAGAUUGCGUGGGAAACUAGGCAGCUAGAGGACGGUAGAGGGGAGUGGAAUUCCCGGUGUAGCGGUAAAAUGCGUAGAUAUCGGGAGGAACACCAGUGGCGAAGGCGACUGCCUGGACGAUAACUGACGCUGAGGCACGAAAGCUAGGGGAGCAAACAGGAUUAGAUACCCGGGUAGUCCUAGCCGUAAACGAUGGGUGCUUGGUGUUGGGGGGUAAAGACCCUUCAGUGCCGAAGCCAACGCGAUAAGCAUCCCACCUGGGGAGUACGGCCGCAAGGUUGAAACUCAAAGGAAUUGGCGG
RNAcentral lists this ribosomal RNA (413 nucleotides) under uncultured bacterium. RNAcentral describes it as "bacterial SSU rRNA". It matches the Rfam family "Bacterial small subunit ribosomal RNA", at positions 505 to 916 of the family's 1533-position model. The record is from RNAcentral.